RNAcentral lists this unclassified non-coding RNA (376 nucleotides) under uncultured Actinomycetes bacterium. RNAcentral describes it as "uncultured actinobacterium contains 16S-23S intergenic spacer region". Lineage: Bacteria; Bacillati; Actinomycetota; Actinomycetes. The record is from RNAcentral.
UCCGAGUUGACCCCGGCAGUCUCCUAUGAGUCCCCGCCAUAACGCGCUGGCAACAUAGAACGAGGGUUGCGCUCGUUGCGGGACUUAACCCAACAUCUCACGACACGAGCUGACGACAACCAUGCGCCACCUGUAUACCGCCCUUGCGGACCCCAUAUCUCUAUGAGUUUUCGGUAUAUGUCAAGCCUUGGUAAGGUUCUUCGCGUUGCGUCGAAUUAAACCACACGCUCCGCCGCUUGUGCGGGCCCCCGUCAAUUCCUUUGAGUUUUAGCCUUGCGGCCGUACUCCCCAGGCGGGGUGCUUAAUGCGUUAGCUUCGGCACGGAGGGAGUCGACACCCCCCACACCUAGCACUCAUCGUUUACGGCGUGGACUAC